GACGAACGCUGGCGGCGUGCCUAACACAUGCAAGUCGAGCGGAAAGGCCACUUCGGUGGUCCUCGAGCGGCGAACGGGGGAGUAACAGGUGGGUAAUCUUCCCCUCACUUUGGGACAGCGACCGGAAAGGGGGAUUAAUACCGGAAAUGACCAUUAUUCUCAACGCGUGUGGUGGAAAGUUUUUCGGUGAUGGAUGUGCUCGCGGGUAAGCAGCCGGAUAGGGAGGUAAUGGGUGUCCAUGGCCUCGACGGGUAGGCGGCCUGGGAGGGUGGACGGGCACAAUGGGCCUGAGGGAGGGAGCAGACUGGUACGGGAGGCAGUGGUGGGGAAUCUUAGACAAUGGGCCGACGUCUGAUACAAAGACGCCGGGUGAGGAAAGACGUCUUUUGGGUUGAAAACCUCUUUCGGUAAAGACGACGCGGAAGUGACGGUAGCUAAAGAAGAAGCACCGGCUAACUACGUG
This 463-nucleotide ribosomal RNA is filed under the name uncultured bacterium. RNAcentral's name for it is "partial 16S ribosomal RNA". It matches the Rfam family "Bacterial small subunit ribosomal RNA", at positions 28 to 507 of the family's 1533-position model. The record is from RNAcentral.